RNAcentral lists this ribosomal RNA (524 nucleotides) under uncultured bacterium. RNAcentral describes it as "partial 16S ribosomal RNA". It matches the Rfam family "Bacterial small subunit ribosomal RNA", at positions 28 to 523 of the family's 1533-position model. The record is from RNAcentral.
GACGAACGCUGGCGGCGUGCCUAAUACAUGCAAGUCGAGCGCAGGAAACUGACGGAACUCUUCGGAGGGAAGGCAGUGGAAUGAGCGGCGGACGGGUGAGUAACACGUAAGGAACCUGCCUCAAGGAUUGGGAUAACUCCGAGAAAUCGGAGCUAAUACCGGAUAGUUCAACGGACCGCAUGGUCCGCUGAUGAAAGGCGCUCCGGCGUCACCUUGAGAUGGCCUUGCGGUGCAUUAGCUAGUUGGUGGGGUAACGGCCCACCAAGGCGACGAUGCACAGCCGACCUGGGAGGGUGAUCGGCCAAAAUCGGACUGAGGAACGGGCCAGACUCCUACGGGAGGCAGCAGUAGGGAAUCUUCCACAAUGGACGAAAGUCUGAUGGAGCAACGCCGCGUGAGUGAUGAAGGUUUUCGGAUCGUAACACUCUGUUGUAAGGGAAGAACACGUACGAGAGGAAAUGCUCGUACCUUGACGGUACCUUACGAGAAAGCCACGGCUAACUACGUGCCAGCCGCCGCAGUAA